UCCCUGGUGGUCUAGUGGUUAGGACCCUGAGCUUUCACUGCUGUGGCCUGGGUUCAAUCCCUGGUCUGGGAA
Transfer RNA from Sus scrofa (pig), 72 nucleotides. It matches the Rfam family "tRNA". Rfam says of the family: Transfer RNA (tRNA) molecules are approximately 80 nucleotides in length. Their secondary structure includes four short double-helical elements and three loops (D, anti-codon, and T loops). Further hydrogen bonds mediate the characteristic L-shaped molecular structure. tRNAs have two regions of fundamental functional importance: the anti-codon, which is responsible for specific mRNA codon recognition, and the 3' end, to which the tRNAs corresponding amino acid is attached (by aminoacyl-tRNA synthetases). tRNAs cope with the degeneracy of the genetic code in two manners: having more than one tRNA (with a specific anti-codon) for a particular amino acid; and 'wobble' base-pairing, i.e. permitting non-standard base-pairing at the 3rd anti-codon position. NCBI's taxonomy places the organism in Eukaryota, Metazoa, Chordata, Mammalia, Artiodactyla, Suidae. The record is from Rfam.